RNAcentral lists this transfer RNA (69 nucleotides) under Marmota marmota marmota (Alpine marmot). It matches the Rfam family "tRNA". From Rfam's summary of the family: Transfer RNA (tRNA) molecules are approximately 80 nucleotides in length. Their secondary structure includes four short double-helical elements and three loops (D, anti-codon, and T loops). RNAcentral also lists the same sequence under 2 other names. The record is from Rfam by way of RNAcentral. Lineage: Eukaryota; Metazoa; Chordata; Mammalia; Rodentia; Sciuridae.
GGGGUUGUGGCUCAGUGGUAGAGUGCUUGCCUAACACACAUGAAGCACUGGGUUUGAUCCUCAACACCA